RNAcentral lists this non-coding RNA (735 nucleotides) under Megalophasma granulatum. The record is from RNAcentral. Lineage: Eukaryota; Metazoa; Arthropoda; Insecta; Phasmatodea; Lonchodidae.
UUAUUUUGAUUCUAAUUAUUUUAUUAAUUUAAUUGAAUAUACACAUAUGAAUAUUUAUAUAUUAUUAUGAUUAGUAGUGUUUUAUUUUGAAAUAUUAAGGUUACUUUGAAUUGGGUAUUUGUUUUAUUAUUGUACAAUUUUGUGCCAGCAUACGCGGUUAUACAAUAGAUGUUAAUUAAUAUUUUUGGUAUAGAAUAGAUAAAGUUGAUUUGGGAUUAAUAUUUUUGUUUUUAAGUGAAAUUUAAAUUUUAAUUAAUUUUUUGUUGAUUCUUUGAAAUUUUGGUUUAAACUAGGAUUAGAUACCCUAUUAUUAUAAAUGUUAAUGUUAUACCCAGGUAGUAAUUGGUAUAUCUUUAAACCUAAAGAAUUUGGCGGUGUCUUAUUCUAAUCAGAGGAACUUGUUCAGUGAUCGAUAUUCCCCGUUUUAUCUUACUUUAAUUAUUUAGUAUGUAUACCGCCGUUAUAAGCUUAUUUUUUAAGAAUUUUAAUUUGCUAAUAUAUUUAUUUGUUAUUAUUUCAGGUCAAGGUGCAGCUUAUAUUUAAGUUGAAAUGAGUUACAAUAUGAUUGUAUGUGGAUUUGAAUUUUAUAAUUUCAUUAAAAUUGGAUUUGAUUGUAAUUUUUAUAAUAGAAUGUAAUUGAUCAUAGCUCUAAGAUGAGCACAUAUCGCCCGUCACUCUCAAUCUUUUUGAGAUAAGUCGUAACAUAGUAGAUGUACUGGAAAGUGUAUCUGAGUU